RNAcentral lists this ribosomal RNA (395 nucleotides) under Pristimantis sp. Guiana ABGD cluster 263. RNAcentral describes it as "partial large subunit ribosomal RNA". It matches the Rfam family "Bacterial large subunit ribosomal RNA", at positions 1836 to 2385 of the family's 2925-position model. The record is from RNAcentral. Lineage: Eukaryota; Metazoa; Chordata; Amphibia; Anura; Strabomantidae.
CUUGUAAACAUAAGAGGUCCAGCCUGCCCAGUGAUUCAUUCAACGGCCGCGGUAUCCUAACCGUGCAAAGGUAGCGUAAUCACUUGUUUUCCAAAUAAAGACCAGUAUGAAAGGCAUCACGAGAACUAAACUGUCUCCUUUCUCUAAUCAGUGAACCUAAUCUCCCCGUGAAGAAGCGGGGAUCCUGCUAUAAGACGAGAAGACCCUGUGGAGCUUAAAACAUUACAACAAUGCCCCCUCCCCCACCGGCACCCUGAUUACAUGUUUUUGGUUGGGGUGACCGCGGAGAAAAACCCAUCCUCCGUAAUGAAAGGGAUUUCCCCCCUAAGCAACAAGCUACAACUUUACACAUCAAAAAAAUUGACAUCUUUGACCCAAUAAAUUGAUUGACGAAC